Molecule: ribosomal RNA, 271 nt
Filed under: uncultured prokaryote
Description: partial 16S ribosomal RNA
Rfam family: Bacterial small subunit ribosomal RNA
Source: RNAcentral
UACGGAGGAUGCGAGCGUUAUCCGGAUUUAUUGGGUUUAAAGGGUGCGUAGGCGGCUUUUUAAGUCAGCGGUGAAAUUUUGCAGCUUAACUGUAACAGUGCCGUUGAUACUGGGGAGCUAGGAUUUGGUUGCUGUGGGUGGAAUGUGUGGUGUAGCGGUGAAAUGCUUAGAUAUCACGAGGAACUCCGAUUGCGCAGGCAGCUUACUAAACUACUACUGACGCUCAGGCACGAAGGCGUGGGGAUCAAACAGGAUUAGAUACCCCGGUAGU